RNAcentral lists this ribosomal RNA (513 nucleotides) under Enterococcus faecalis. Its description in RNAcentral is "bacterial SSU rRNA". It matches the Rfam family "Bacterial small subunit ribosomal RNA", at positions 45 to 529 of the family's 1533-position model. Lineage: Bacteria; Bacillati; Bacillota; Bacilli; Lactobacillales; Enterococcaceae. The record is from RNAcentral.
UGCUAUACAUGCAAGUCGAACGCUUCUUUCCUCCCGAGUGCUUGCACUCAAUUGGAAAGAGGAGUGGCGGACGGGUGAGUAACACGUGGGUAACCUACCCAUCAGAGGGGGAUAACACUUGGAAACAGGUGCUAAUACCGCAUAACAGUUUAUGCCGCAUGGCAUAAGAGUGAAAGGCGCUUUCGGGUGUCGCUGAUGGAUGGACCCGCGGUGCAUUAGCUAGUUGGUGAGGUAACGGCUCACCAAGGCCACGAUGCAUAGCCGACCUGAGAGGGUGAUCGGCCACACUGGGACUGAGACACGGCCCAGACUCCUACGGGAGGCAGCAGUAGGGAAUCUUCGGCAAUGGACGAAAGUCUGACCGAGCAACGCCGCGUGAGUGAAGAAGGUUUUCGGAUCGUAAAACUCUGUUGUUAGAGAAGAACAAGGACGUUAGUAACUGAACGUCCCCUGACGGUAUCUAACCAGAAAGCCACGGCUAACUACGUGCCAGCAGCCGCGGUAAAGAACUCU